GGGCAGUCUCAGCUGUGUCAAAAUCCAAUAAGAAUAACAAAUGUUCUGAUAAACAUCCACUACCAUCUGCAUUAAUUGACACAAAAGUAAAGUAUAUAUAUCAGGGCUAUUACAGUUACAAUACCUGAUCGAAAAAUACAGGAUCUCUUACAAGGUUGAUAAAGAAACGUAUCCUUUAUUUGUGGUCAAUAUGAAAACCACUUAUUAUAUUUGCUAAGGGGGCUGGGGGCUUCGAUAAUGGGGGAAAGUACAAAAGA
Molecule: unclassified non-coding RNA, 257 nt
Filed under: Hevea brasiliensis (rubber tree)
Lineage: Eukaryota; Viridiplantae; Streptophyta; Magnoliopsida; Malpighiales; Euphorbiaceae
Source: RNAcentral